Non-coding RNA from Podarcis lilfordi (Lilford's wall lizard), 66 nucleotides. The record is from the annotation of a GenBank genome assembly. NCBI's taxonomy places the organism in Eukaryota, Metazoa, Chordata, Lepidosauria, Squamata, Lacertidae.
GCAGCUCAUUGGUGGAGCAUCUGCUAGGCGUGCAGAAGGUUCCAGCUUCAAGCCCUGGCAUCUCCA